AAAAGUUGCUUCGGUGGAUCACUCGGUUCGCGGGUCGAUGAAAAACGCAGUGAAUUGCGAUAAUAAGUACGAAUUACAGAUAUUAUGAGUGCCAUGUUUUUGAAUGCAUAUUGCGCCGUUGGGUUCUGCUCUUCGGCGUAUGUGAUUCAGGGUGGUUUGU
RNAcentral lists this ribosomal RNA (160 nucleotides) under Bursaphelenchus fungivorus. RNAcentral describes it as "5.8S ribosomal RNA". It matches the Rfam family "5.8S ribosomal RNA". From Rfam's summary of the family: 5.8S ribosomal RNA (5.8S rRNA) is a component of the large subunit of the eukaryotic ribosome. It is transcribed by RNA polymerase I as part of the 45S precursor that also contains 18S and 28S rRNA. Lineage: Eukaryota; Metazoa; Nematoda; Chromadorea; Rhabditida; Aphelenchoididae. The record is from RNAcentral.